Molecule: ribosomal RNA, 757 nt
Filed under: uncultured Prevotellaceae bacterium
Lineage: Bacteria; Pseudomonadati; Bacteroidota; Bacteroidia; Bacteroidales; Prevotellaceae
Description: bacterial SSU rRNA
Rfam family: Bacterial small subunit ribosomal RNA
Source: RNAcentral
AGCUUGCUUCUUCUGAUGGCGACCGGCGCACGGGUGCGUAACGCGUAUCAAACCUGCCUCAUACUCGGGGAUAGCCUUGCGAAAGUAAGAUUAAUACCCGAUGUUGUUAUGUUGCCGCAUGGUGAUAUAACCAAAGAUUUAUCGGUAUGAGAUGGUGAUGCGUCCGAUUAGGUAGUAGGCGGGGUAACGGCCCACCUAGCCAUCGAUCGGUAAGGGUUCUGAGAGGAAGGUCCCCCACACUGGAACUGAGACACGGUCCAGACUCCUACGGGAGGCAGCAGUGAGGAAUAUCGGUCAAUGGACGAAAGUCUGAACCAGCCAAGUAGCGUGCAGGAUGACGGCCCUAUGGGUUGUAAACUGCUUUUAGUUUGGGAAUAAAAAAGAGGACGUGUCCUCUCGUGUAUGUACCUUCAGAAAAAGGACCGGCUAAUUCCGUGCCAGCAGCCGCGGUAAUACGGAAGGUCCAGGCGUUAUCCGGAUUUAUUGGGUUUAAAGGGAGCGUAGGCGGAUUAUUAAGUCAGUGGUGAAAGACGGUGGCUCAACCAUCGUUAGCCAUUGAAACUGGUAGUCUGGAGUGCAGACAGGGAUGCUGGAACUCGUGGUGUAGCGGUGAAAUGCUUAGAUAUCACGAUGAACUCCGAUCGCGAAGGCAGGUGUCCGGACUGCAACUGACGCUGAGGCUCGAAAGUGUGGGUAUCAAACAGGAUUAGAUACCCUGGUAGUCCACACAGUAAACGAUGUAUACUCGCGGUUUGCG